GCGCCUGUAGCUCAGCUGGAUAGAGCAUCGGCCUCCGGAGCCGAUGGUCGGAGGUUCAAAUCCUCUCAGGCGCG
This 74-nucleotide transfer RNA is filed under the name Thermodesulfovibrio thiophilus. RNAcentral's name for it is "tRNA-Arg". It matches the Rfam family "tRNA". Rfam says of the family: Transfer RNA (tRNA) molecules are approximately 80 nucleotides in length. Their secondary structure includes four short double-helical elements and three loops (D, anti-codon, and T loops). Lineage: Bacteria; Pseudomonadati; Nitrospirota; Thermodesulfovibrionia; Thermodesulfovibrionales; Thermodesulfovibrionaceae. The record is from RNAcentral.